Molecule: ribosomal RNA, 726 nt
Filed under: uncultured bacterium
Lineage: Bacteria
Description: bacterial SSU rRNA
Rfam family: Bacterial small subunit ribosomal RNA
Source: RNAcentral
GGUAGUCCACGCCGUAAACGAUGUCGACUUGGAGGUUGUUCCCUUGAGGAGUGGCUUCCGGAGCUAACGCGUUAAGUCGACCGCCUGGGGAGUACGGCCGCAAGGUUAAAACUCAAAUGAAUUGACGGGGGCCCGCACAAGCGGUGGAGCAUGUGGUUUAAUUCGAUGCAACGCGAAGAACCUUACCUACUCUUGACAUCCAGCGAACUUUCCAGAGAUGGAUUGGUGCCUUCGGGAACGCUGAGACAGGUGCUGCAUGGCUGUCGUCAGCUCGUGUUGUGAAAUGUUGGGUUAAGUCCCGCAACGAGCGCAACCCUUAUCCUUUGUUGCCAGCGAUUCGGUCGGGAACUCAAAGGAGACUGCCGGUGAUAAACCGGAGGAAGGUGGGGAUGACGUCAAGUCAUCAUGGCCCUUACGAGUAGGGCUACACACGUGCUACAAUGGCGCAUACAAAGAGAAGCGACCUCGCGAGAGCAAGCGGACCUCACAAAGUGCGUCGUAGUCCGGAUCGGAGUCUGCAACUCGACUCCGUGAAGUCGGAAUCGCUAGUAAUCGUGGAUCAGAAUGCCACGGUGAAUGCGUUCCCGGGCCUUGUACACACCGCCCGUCACACCAUGGGAGUGGGUUGCAAAAGAAGUAGGUAGCUUAACCUUCGGGAGGGCGCUUACCACUUUGUGAUUCAUGACUGGGGUGAAGUCGUAACAAGGUAACCGUAGGGGAACCUGC